CAGAUGGGAGCUUGCUCCCUGAUGUUAGCGGCGGACGGGUGAGUAACACGUGGGUAACCUGCCUGUAAGACUGGGAUAACUCCGGGAAACCGGGGCUAAUACCGGAUGGUUGUUUGAACCGCAUGGUUCAAACAUAAAAGGUGGCUUCGGCUACCACUUACAGAUGGACCCGCGGCGCAUUAGCUAGUUGGUGAGGUAACGGCUCACCAAGGCAACGAUGCGUAGCCGACCUGAGAGGGUGAUCGGCCACACUGGGACUGAGACACGGCCCAGACUCCUACGGGAGGCAGCAGUAGGGAAUCUUCCGCAAUGGACGAAAGUCUGACGGAGCAACGCCGCGUGAGUGAUGAAGGUUUUCGGAUCGUAAAGCUCUGUUGUUAGGGAAGAACAAGUACCGUUCGAAUAGGGCGGUACCUUGACGGUACCUAACCAGAAAGCCACGGCUAACUACGUGCCAGCAGCCGCGGUAAUACGUAGGUGGCAAGCGUUGUCCGGAAUUAUUGGGCGUAAAGGGCUCGCAGGCGGUUUCUUAAGUCUGAUGUGAAAGCCCCCGGCUCAACCGGGGAGGGUCAUUGGAAACUGGGGAACUUGAGUGCAGAAGAGGAGAGUGGAAUUCCACGUGUAGCGGUGAAAUGCGUAGAGAUGUGGAGGAACACCAGUGGCGAAGGCGACUCUCUGGUCUGUAACUGACGCUGAGGAG
RNAcentral lists this ribosomal RNA (700 nucleotides) under Bacillus subtilis. RNAcentral's name for it is "bacterial SSU rRNA". It matches the Rfam family "Bacterial small subunit ribosomal RNA", at positions 69 to 753 of the family's 1533-position model. The record is from RNAcentral. Lineage: Bacteria; Bacillati; Bacillota; Bacilli; Caryophanales; Bacillaceae.